Molecule: small nucleolar RNA, 96 nt
Organism: Callithrix jacchus (white-tufted-ear marmoset)
Lineage: Eukaryota; Metazoa; Chordata; Mammalia; Primates; Cebidae
Source: Ensembl
AUAUGUGUUUCUUACACAUGAUUAAGUUUUCAAAGGCAUGUAUGAGAGUGCCUCCUUCAAAACGUGUUAUGACAUCAGCACAUUACCCAUUUGACG